This 472-nucleotide ribosomal RNA is filed under the name uncultured bacterium. RNAcentral's name for it is "bacterial SSU rRNA". It matches the Rfam family "Bacterial small subunit ribosomal RNA", at positions 328 to 793 of the family's 1533-position model. The record is from RNAcentral.
CGCUGUCACUCCUACGGGAGCAGCAGUAGGGAAUCUUCCACAAUGGGCGCAAGCCUGAUGGAGCAACACCGCGUGAGUGAAGAAGGGUUUCGGCUCGUAAAGCUCUGUUGUUAAAGAAGAACACGUAUGAGAGUAACUGUUCAUACGUUGACGGUAUUUAACCAGAAAGUCACGGCUAACUACGUGCCAGCAGCCGCGGUAAUACGUAGGUGGCAAGCGUUAUCCGGAUUUAUUGGGCGUAAAGAGAGUGCAGGCGGUUUUCUAAGUCUGAUGUGAAAGCCUUCGGCUUAACCGGAGAAGUGCAUCGGAAACUGGAUAACUUGAGUGCAGAAGAGGGUAGUGGAACUCCAUGUGUAGCGGUGGAAUGCGUAGAUAUAUGGAAGAACACCAGUGGCGAAGGCGGCUACCUGGUCUGCAACUGACGCUGAGACUCGAAAGCAUGGGUAGCGAACAGGAUUAGAUACCCUGGUAG